RNAcentral lists this unclassified non-coding RNA (410 nucleotides) under soil metagenome. RNAcentral's name for it is "partial contains 5.8S ribosomal RNA, internal transcribed spacer 2, and large subunit ribosomal RNA". The stretch from base 1 to 120 matches the Rfam family "5.8S ribosomal RNA", at positions 35 to 154 of the family's 154-position model. The record is from RNAcentral.
GAUGAAGAACGCAGCGAAACGCGAUAGGUAAUGUGAAUUGCAGAAUUCCGUGAAUCAUCGAAUCUUUGAACGCACAUUGCGCCUUCUGGUAUUCCGGUAGGCAUGCCUGUCUGAGCGUCAGCAAAACACCCUCGGCCUGAAUAUUUUUUAUACUCAAGGCCGGUCUUGGCAGUGGAUGCCGGUGGGGGGUUAACUCUUUCCCACCUGCGCCCUCCCUAAACUUGCUGCACGACCAUGUGCCCCUUCCAGCCAGGUCAAAUGGAGUGGUGUUACAAUCUUCCAAAAAAGCCUGCUGGUAAACUGCUUCGUGGCGUUAAACUGUCAAGUCACCUUCCGCGGAGACUUUGAACUUUUGACCUCAGAUCAGACAAGGAUACCCGCUGAACUUAAGCAUAUCAAUAAGCGGAGGA